RNAcentral lists this ribosomal RNA (301 nucleotides) under uncultured bacterium. RNAcentral describes it as "partial 16S ribosomal RNA". It matches the Rfam family "Bacterial small subunit ribosomal RNA", at positions 509 to 807 of the family's 1533-position model. The record is from RNAcentral.
CAGCAGCCGCGGGAAUACGAAGGGUGCAAGCGUUACUCGGAAUUACUGGGCGUAAAGCGUGCGUAGGUGGUUGUUUAAGUCUGCUGUGAAAGCCCUGGGCUCAACCUGGGAAUUGCAGUGGAUACUGGGCGACUAGAGUAAGGUAGAGGAUAGUGGAAUUUCCGGUGUAGCAGUGAAAUGCGUAGAGAUCGGAAGGAACAUCUGUGGCGAAGGCGACUAUCUGGGCCAACACUGACACUGAGGCACGAAAGCGUGGGGAGCAAACAGGAUUAGAUACCCCCGUAGUCCCUGUCUCUUAUAC